UACGUAGGGUGCGAGCGUUGUCCGGAAUUAUUGGGCGUAAAGAGCUCGUAGGCGGUGUGUCGCGUCGGCCGUGAAAACCUGCAGCUUAACUGUGGGCUUGCGGUCGAUACGGGCAUCACUGGAGUUCGGCAGGGGAGACUGGAAUUCCUGGUGUAGCGGUGGAAUGCGCAGAUAUCAGGAGGAACACCGGUGGCGAAGGCGGGUCUCUGGGCAGUAACUGACGCUGAGGAGCGAAAGCGUGGGGAGCGAACAGG
This 254-nucleotide ribosomal RNA is filed under the name uncultured bacterium. Its description in RNAcentral is "partial 16S ribosomal RNA". It matches the Rfam family "Bacterial small subunit ribosomal RNA", at positions 524 to 776 of the family's 1533-position model. The record is from RNAcentral.